This 495-nucleotide ribosomal RNA is filed under the name uncultured bacterium. RNAcentral describes it as "partial 16S ribosomal RNA". It matches the Rfam family "Bacterial small subunit ribosomal RNA", at positions 28 to 507 of the family's 1533-position model. The record is from RNAcentral.
GACGAACGCUGGCGGCAUGCCUAAUACAUGCAAGUAGAACGCUGAAGGAGGAGCUUGCUCUUCUGGAUGAGUUGCGAACGGGUGAGUAACGCGUAGGUAACCUGCCUGGUAGCGGGGGAUAACUAUUGGAAACGAUAGCUAAUACCGCAUAAGAGUAGAUGUUGCAUGACUUUUACUUAAAAGGUGCAAUUGCAUCACUACCAGAUGGACCUGCGUUGUAUUAGCUAGUUGGUGGGGUAACGGCUUACCAAGGCGACGAUACAUAGCCGACCUGAGAGGGUGAUCGGCCACACUGGGACUGAGACACGGCCCAGACUCCUACGGGAGGCAGCAGUAGGGAAUCUUCGGCAAUGGACGGAAGUCUGACCGAGCAACGCCGCGUGAGUGAAGAAGGUUUUCGGAUCGUAAAGCUCUGUUGUAAGAGAAGAACGAGUGUGAGAGUGGAAAGUUCACACUGUGACGGUAUCUUACCAGAAAGGGACGGCUAACUACGUG